Long non-coding RNA from Cyprinus carpio (common carp), 1352 nucleotides. NCBI's taxonomy places the organism in Eukaryota, Metazoa, Chordata, Actinopteri, Cypriniformes, Cyprinidae. The record is from Ensembl.
ACAACGAAGACAUUUCUGGGCGUCUGCACGAAGCUGGGGAGAGAAAGAGAGCAGGAGAAGAUCAGCAUCACGACGACUGUGAGUACAUUGGAUUGCUUAGAUCGUUGUUUAUAUCUGGAUGAGAAAGAGAGCGGGAGAAGAUCAGUAUCACGAAGACUGUGAGUACAUUGGAUUGCUUACAUAUCAUUGCUCAUACUUGGAUAUGGAUAACUAAUAUCUGCUGGAGUGAUUAACAGCUUGUUGAGCAGCCCCAUCGUUGGAGGACGAGACGAGUGGGUGAGCCGAAGUAGAGUGUGGGUGAAUGGAUGUUAUUUGGCUGUGGCCACACCGUAAAGUUUGGAGCACUUACCGUGCCAGCGACUGCAAACUCCUCCAGGACGAAAUCCGACUGGGCGUGGAGUACCGACCUUAAAAAUCACUGAAGUGUGUGUAGUGCAGUGGGUGAGUCUGUCUUUGACGUGUGUACACCGAAGUUUUGCAGUGCUGUGCCGUGUCCCUGUUGUCUGUACUCGCCCUCCAGGCCGAGAAAAGUUCCUGUUGGAGAGAACGUAGGCUACUGUGACGGUGCCCACCUAUCCCACCUACGCCCGCCUAUAACUCCGUUCCCCGGACCUAGCUUGAAGGAGGUGAAGCGUGAAUGCAAAACAAGGUAUUGUGCGGAUAUUGUGGGGAAAGCUAAAAGCUAUUGCCCUUGAAUACGCUCUGUAAGCCCAGUGUGAAGAGUCAGUCACCUUGCUCAAUACCUAUCUGUGUUACGAGUAAAAAGUUACUCGCUUCGAAUAUACCGGUGGACAUCCAGGGGCAUGACCUAGUUACCUUGCUACAUCCUUACCUCUGUUACUUACUUGUGCCCUCAGGGACUUGUGUGUUACCUUGUACUUACCUAGGAGGUCUAUGGGAGUGGAUGAGCUGUCCAGACGCUGGAGAAGAGAAGGGCGCCACGGGAAAUCAAGCCGCUAAGAAAGGACUUAGGAUCAGUCAGGAGAUUGGUGGGAGUUCUGGGAAAGGACGAAAGAGCCCUUUGCCCCCCCCUCCCCUUGUGAUUACUUACCAACGACCUCCAGAGUUCUCAGGCCCAGUCCCCUCCUGGCAAGAGACGAAAAUCAAAAUUUUAGAUUCCCCUUUCUCCUUUCCUAAAUUCUUUUUAAAUAAUUUAAAUAAAGUUGCUUUAAAUUAUUCUUAACUUAUCUUGUGUGUCUGGUCAUUGGGGUGAUCUUGGGACCUCCUCGAGGUGGUAGCCAGGAAGGGGCGUGACUCGCAACACCUGUGGUCCGCUCCGACCUGUGACAGUAUGCUGUUUUGAUAGCUCAUGGUUUAAUAAAAAUACAGUUUAUAAAGGGGUAUGCUGUUUU